Molecule: small nucleolar RNA, 130 nt
Organism: Sardina pilchardus (European sardine)
Lineage: Eukaryota; Metazoa; Chordata; Actinopteri; Clupeiformes; Clupeidae
Product: small nucleolar RNA SNORA57
Exons: 1
Source: RefSeq, a predicted model, not a curated record
CUCCAUUUUUUGGCACAUGCGUUUUGACUUCAGUGUGUGUAAUGUAUUGUAGCAGAGAAAUGCCACUGCUAUGUGUAUGGUGCCAUGUGUUCAUUGUCUUCUGAUUAUAUACUCAAUCAUUGGUACACAU